AGUGAACGCUGGCGGUAGGCCUAACACAUGCAAGUCGAACGGCAGCACAGUAAGAGCUUGCUAUUACGGGUGGCGAGUGGCGGACGGGUGAGGAAUACAUCGCAAUCUACUUUUUCGUGGGGGAUAACGUAGGGAAACUUACGCUAAUACCGCAUACGACCUACUGGUGAAAGCAGGGGAUCUUCGGACCUUGUGCGAUUGAAUGAGCCGAUGUCGGCUUAGCUAGUUGGCGGGGUAAAGGCCCACCACGGCGACGAUCCGUAGCUGGUCUGAGAGGAUGAUCAGCCACACUGGAACUGAGACACGGUCCAGACUCCUACGGUAGGCAGCAGUGGGGAAUAUAAGACAAUGGGCGCAAGCCUGAUCCAGCCAUACCGCGUGGGUGACAGAGUCCUGCGGGUUGUAAAUCUCUUUUGUUGGGAAAGAAAAGCAGCAGGUUAAUACCCCGCUGUUCUGACGGUACCCAAAGAAUAAGCACCGGCUAACUUCGUG
RNAcentral lists this ribosomal RNA (492 nucleotides) under uncultured bacterium. Its description in RNAcentral is "partial 16S ribosomal RNA". It matches the Rfam family "Bacterial small subunit ribosomal RNA", at positions 29 to 507 of the family's 1533-position model. The record is from RNAcentral.